This 444-nucleotide ribosomal RNA is filed under the name Nemopterella africana. RNAcentral's name for it is "partial 16S ribosomal RNA". It matches the Rfam family "Bacterial large subunit ribosomal RNA", at positions 1827 to 2527 of the family's 2925-position model. Lineage: Eukaryota; Metazoa; Arthropoda; Insecta; Neuroptera; Nemopteridae. The record is from RNAcentral.
CAUGUCUUUUUGGGAAUUAUUUAAAGUCUAAUCUGCCCACUGAAUUUUUAAAGGGCCGCAGUAAUUUGACUGUGCAAAGGUAGCAUAAUAAUUUGUCUCUUAAUUGGAGGCUGGAAUGAAUGAUUGGACGAGGUAAAUACUGUCUCAUUAUUAAAAUAAUAAAAAUUUAGUUUUUUAGUCAAAAAGCUAAAAUUUUUUUGGAGGACGAGAAGACCCUAUAGAUCUUUAUAUUAAUAAUUAUAUUUUUAUUUUGGAUAAAAAAUUUUAAGUAUAAUUUUUAGUAUUUUGUUGGGGUGACAUGAAAAUUAAUUUAACUUUUCAUAAAUUUAAACAUGAAUUAAUGAUUAAAUGAUCCAUUUUUAUUGAUUAUAAGAUUAAGUUACCUUAGGGAUAACAGCGUUAUUUUAUUGGAGAGUUCAUAUUGAUAAUAAAGUUUGCGACCUC